Molecule: small nuclear RNA, 103 nt
Filed under: Phascolarctos cinereus (koala)
Lineage: Eukaryota; Metazoa; Chordata; Mammalia; Diprotodontia; Phascolarctidae
Source: RNAcentral
GCUUGCUUUGACAGCACAUACUAAAAUGGGAAUGAUGCAGAGCAGACUAGUAUGGCCCCUGCCCAAGGAUUACAUCCAAAUUCAUGAAACAUUCCUUAUUUUU